CAUCCGUCUUCUCUCUUUUUGUCACUCUCAGAACUCUCUCUGUAACUCACGCUCUCGGCUCUCCCUCUACUUAUUCUCAAAUUGGAACCAAACUGACAUUCUCAUCACCCACUUUUCUCAAAUUGACAGAUUGCAACAUUCGUGAUUCUCCCGAUUGCACACCGUCUCCAUCAUCUCCCUACCGUAGCUGAGCAGCGCCGCGCAACAGGCCACCGUCUCCAUCACACUGCAAACUAGCCGCUUCAAGUGAGACCGUUCUACGCUGUACGUCGCCGCUACAGGCGCUCAGCUCCUCCGCCGGCAACGCUGUUUUUCACACCUAACACUCUACGUCGAAGACAAACGCUCUAAACUAUUAAUUUUUUGUUUCUCGUCAAUAACCGUCUUUUGGAGCACUCGUUGAUUGAUUUCGUUUUCUACAACAAUGGAAGAAGGGUUUGAUUGUUUGGCGCAAGUUAAAUUUAUUCCCCAAGGGUUUAGCAAUCCUUGGGGCUAGGGUGUAGUAUGGUGUACGUAACACAAUCGUCACCACAACCCACGAGUUUCAUUCAUUCCUCUAGGGUUUAGUUUUUCAUCUCGGCUGGGGAGUAGUAUUCAGUAAUAGAUAUAAUGUACAAAUAUUUCAGUGUAAUGUAUUUUUUCCAAUCAGUAAUGUACGAUGUAUGUACUGUAAUGUAUAUUUUUCGUAGAUGUUUGAACUGGUAAAAGUAAUGUACGUAUAGUACUGUGUAAUGGUUAUUAUGCACUCAGUAAUGGAUGAUUUCUCUUCUUUAAUGUA
Long non-coding RNA from Salvia hispanica, 778 nucleotides. RefSeq lists it as uncharacterized. NCBI's taxonomy places the organism in Eukaryota, Viridiplantae, Streptophyta, Magnoliopsida, Lamiales, Lamiaceae. The record is from RefSeq and is a predicted model, not a curated record.